AAUAAUUGUAGUUUUACACUAUUCAUGUUUAACGUUUGACCGUCCGUCUUAUUUGAAAAUUUUUUAUGAUUAGUAUUUUUAUUGCUAUUAGAUGAUAAAACAUGAAUAGUACUUUAUAUGUGACUAAAUGUUUUUAAUUUUUUCACAAAAUUUUCAAAUAAGACGGACGGUCAAACGUUGAACGUGAAUAGUGUAAAACUGCACUUAUU
RNAcentral lists this microRNA precursor (209 nucleotides) under Oryza sativa Japonica Group (Japanese rice). Its description in RNAcentral is "MIR812 microRNA precursor family". It matches the Rfam family "MIR812 microRNA precursor family". Lineage: Eukaryota; Viridiplantae; Streptophyta; Magnoliopsida; Poales; Poaceae. The record is from Rfam by way of RNAcentral.